RNAcentral lists this ribosomal RNA (163 nucleotides) under Bupleurum commelynoideum. Its description in RNAcentral is "5.8S ribosomal RNA". It matches the Rfam family "5.8S ribosomal RNA". From Rfam's summary of the family: 5.8S ribosomal RNA (5.8S rRNA) is a component of the large subunit of the eukaryotic ribosome. It is transcribed by RNA polymerase I as part of the 45S precursor that also contains 18S and 28S rRNA. Lineage: Eukaryota; Viridiplantae; Streptophyta; Magnoliopsida; Apiales; Apiaceae. The record is from RNAcentral.
AAACGACUCUCGGCAACGGAUAUCCCGGCUCUCGCAUCGAUGAAGAACGUAGCGAAAUGCGAUACUUGGUGUGAAUUGCAGAAUCCCGUGAACCACCGAGUUUUUGAACGCAAGUUGCGCCCGAUGCCAUUAGGCUGAGGGCACGUCUGCCUGGGUGUCACGU